RNAcentral lists this ribosomal RNA (775 nucleotides) under uncultured Neocallimastigales. RNAcentral's name for it is "partial large subunit ribosomal RNA". It matches the Rfam family "Eukaryotic large subunit ribosomal RNA", at positions 23 to 647 of the family's 3401-position model. The record is from RNAcentral. Lineage: Eukaryota; Fungi; Neocallimastigomycota; Neocallimastigomycetes; Neocallimastigales.
AGAGAUGUGUGAUGACGCAUAUCAAUAAGCGGAGGAAAAGAAACUAACAAGGAUUCCCUUAGUAACGGCGAGUGAAGCGGGAAGAGCUCAAAUCUGAAAUCUUCAAGGUUCUACCUUGACGAAUUGUAGUUUAUAAGAAGUGUUUUCUGUUAGUGGAGUGGCAAAAGUUCUUCGGAAUAGGACAUCAUAGAGGGUGAGAAUCCCGUAUUUGGUCAUUCCUCCUAGCUUUGUGAUACACUUUCAACGAGUCGGAUUGUUUGGGAAUGCAGUCCAAAAUGGGUGGUAAAUUUCAUCUAAAGCUAAAUAUUGGCGAGAGACCGAUAGCGAACAAGUACCGUGAGGGAAAGAUGAGAAGAACUUUGAAAAGAGAGUUAAACAGUACGUGAAAUUGUCAAAAGGGAAGCGUUUGACACCAGUGUUGUUUUUCCGAAAAUCAAUUACGAAUGUUUUGUUUUUGAGGAGUUAUGACUUCAUCGGCUUGCUCCUUUCUUUAUGAAACUUUCUUAAUGCACUUUUCGGUUAACAAGUCAACAUCAAUUUCUUUUGUUGUAAAAGGGUAUGAGGAAGGUGGCUUUCUUUUCGGAGAAAGUGUUUAUAGCCUUGUGCCUCUGCAAUCGGAGAGAUUGAGGUCUGCAGCGUAGAUCCUUCGGGGUUAGAUACGUUUGUGCUAAGUUAUAGCUUUUCAUAGACAACUUGUUGACUAUGUUUAGUCUUGUAGCUUACUCGCUUAUGCUAUUUUACCUACGCUUAGGAUGUUGACGCAUGAGAUAUACGC